This 873-nucleotide ribosomal RNA is filed under the name Triticum aestivum (bread wheat). Its description in RNAcentral is "partial small subunit ribosomal RNA". Lineage: Eukaryota; Viridiplantae; Streptophyta; Magnoliopsida; Poales; Poaceae. The record is from RNAcentral.
AUGGCCGCCUCUGCCAAUCACCUCGCCGCCGGCCUCCGGCCUCUCCCCCACAGCCGGCAACCUCGUCUCCCGCCUCCGUUCUCUCCCCUCCCCUCCCCUCGUCACAAGACGAGAGAAGAGAAGAGGAGAGGGAAGUCGAGCGACCAGGUCGGUCAGUCGGCGGCCAGAUCCGCCCAUGACCGGCCGGCGACCACAGCACGCCACGCCGUCGUCAGGGGAUUCUUCCACCCCGACGGACGUGCUCGCUCUCUCGCGCCCCACGCCACGCCACGCCACGCCACGGAUCGAGCUUCCCCUGCUCCCACCCACGCCAUGGAUCCAGCUCGCGCUCCUCCUCAAGGGCCCCCCAGAUCGACAGCGCCAAGUGCUUCUGCUCGGCCACGUUACCUGACCACACGACGCCAUGGCCAUGGAUGGACCUUCCCCUGCUGCCACGCACUCGAAGGUUGCUGCUGCUCUUUCUUUGUGAGACGACAUCCAACAUCAAUCACCAGCGACAGACUCCCUGCUGUGGCCGGCCGACCAACUAUACCUGCUACUCACUCGGACGCCUCCGUUCUUUGGUUCCAGGAGAGAUGGCCGCCGCUAUACAUUGCCGGAGGAGCACCUUCCUGCAGAGCUCAUGGGACGCACCCCUUCAAGGGGCUUGCUGCUGACCACAAGGGUCAACUUGGAGCUCCUCUCUGCCCCUGCAGGCGAUUAAUCACCUUCCCGUGGACUUGGUGCCUGCUUUGGAAUUUCCCAUGGGAGAGAGGCAAUUCUGACCAUACAUCUGCAGCAGCAGCAGCCGCGUCAAGAAGAGCAGCGGCUACCUUGCCACACACAAACCCAGCCAUAAGCUUCUCUAUGUCUCUCCCUUGUAUAGAUCUGUAG